Molecule: ribosomal RNA, 216 nt
Filed under: Listeria monocytogenes
Lineage: Bacteria; Bacillati; Bacillota; Bacilli; Caryophanales; Listeriaceae
Description: partial 23S ribosomal RNA
Rfam family: Bacterial large subunit ribosomal RNA
Source: RNAcentral
CGGAGGCGCCCAAAGGUUCCCUCAGAAUGGAUGGAAAUCAUUCGCAGAGUGUAAAGGCAUAAGGGAGCUUGACUGCGAGACUGACAAGGCGAGCAGGGACGAAAGUCGGGCUUAGUGAUCCGGUGGUGCCGCAUGGAAGGGCCAUCGCUCAACGGAUAAAAGCUACCCCGGGGAUAACAGGCUUAUCUCCCCCAAGAGUCCACAUCGACGGGGAGG